CGCUUGUGACCAGACUUGGGCGCGGCGGAUCAUCCGGGGUUCUCUCCGGUGCACUUCGCCGCGUUUAGGCCAGCAUCAGUUCGUCGCGGGGGAAAAAGGCUUCGGGAACGUGGCUCCUCCGGGAGUGUUAUAGCCCGUUGCAUAAUACCCUGCGGUGGACUGAGGACCGCGCAUCUGCAAGGAUGCUGGCGUAAU
This 195-nucleotide ribosomal RNA is filed under the name Trichoderma harzianum. RNAcentral's name for it is "partial 28S ribosomal RNA". Lineage: Eukaryota; Fungi; Ascomycota; Sordariomycetes; Hypocreales; Hypocreaceae. The record is from RNAcentral.